CUUGGCUAAUACUGCAAAGUUUGGGAUCCACAGUCUACAAAACCCCACAUCCCCUGAGAAUUCUCUCGCCUGCCUUAGGCACUUAGGCUCCGGGAGAUUGCAAAUAACCUGCUUUCUUUCUGUUCCCGGGCUGCGUUCGGACUCCUGUCAGAUAGUAAAUCCUAAGUGGCGUCGGACCCCUGUCAGAGAGUAAAUCUCAAGUAAGGUACCUGCCAUCGGCAGAUUUGAGCUUUCUUCUUGGACACCUAAUACCCACAGUCCUCCAGGCUCCGGUAGACUGCAAAUGACCUGCUUUCUUUCUGUUCCCGGGCUGCGUUUGGACCCCUGUCGGAUAGUAAAUCCCAAGCUCCGGUAGACUGCAAAUGACCUGCUUUCUUUCUGUUCCCGGGCUGCGUUUGGACCCCUGUCGGACAGUAAAUCCCAAGCUGUAGAUGAAGGGGUUCAGCAUGGAGGUGAUCACCGUGUACAUCACUGAGGCCACUGCAGCCUUUCUCGGGGAAGAUGACACAUCUGAACUGAGGUACCCUCCAAAGCCUGUUCCGUAAAAUCAGCAAACAACUGACAGGAUAACUUCAGGAAGUGGGUAUUAAUUCUCACGGUAUAAGUGAAGACAUUAAGCACCAGAGUUUAAGUAGCUUGAUCCACUGAAAGAGAUUCAACUGUGUGGAACCUAUGCCGUGGAGAAUUGCUUUCUGCCAUUGUUAUCGUCCAGCAGUUGCCGAAUAGCUCUGACCUGAGCAAAGCAGUGAAACGCGGUGCUGUUGAGUGGGUUGCCACUGCACCUUUUUCAACUACUCUAGUCUUGUGGAGAAAAUACCCCUUCUAAAUUUUUUCUUCAUUGAAUACUCUCCCUCAGCUCCAGAGUACCAUAUAGAGUUUUCUUGUAUUUUAGAGUUACUGUUUUAUCAAAGUUUACCAGUCUUUUGUAUUACAUUUCUCCUGUCUAAAUCGACUGUGUGGUUUCUACUCAUUAUGGAUAUAGAUUGAUACAAACUCAA
This 998-nucleotide long non-coding RNA is filed under the name Homo sapiens (human). Its description in RNAcentral is "HSALNT0373176". Lineage: Eukaryota; Metazoa; Chordata; Mammalia; Primates; Hominidae. The record is from RNAcentral.